CCUACGGGGGACAGCAGUGAGGAAUAUUGGUCAAUGGACGAGAGUCUGAACCAGCCAAGUAGCGUGAAGGAUGACUGCCCUAUGGGUUGUAAACUUCUUUUAUAUGGGAAUAAAACAGGGUAUGCAUACCCUCUUGUAUGUACCAUAUGAAUAAGGAUCGGCUAACUCCGUGCCAGCAGCCGCGGUAAUACGGAGGAUCCGAGCGUUAUCCGGUUUUAUUGGGUGUAAAGGGAGCGUAGGUGGAUUGUUAAGUCAGUUGUGAAAGUUUGCGGCUUAACCGUAAAAUUGCAGUUGAAACUGGCAGUCUUGAGUACAGUAGAGGUGGGCGGAAUUCGUGGUGUAGCGGUGAAAUGCUUAGAUAUCACGAAGAACUCCGAUUGCGAAGGCAGCUCACUGGACUGAAACUGACACUGAUGCUCGAAAGUGUGGGUAGCAAACAGGAUUAGAUACCCUGGUAGUC
This 460-nucleotide ribosomal RNA is filed under the name uncultured bacterium. Its description in RNAcentral is "partial 16S ribosomal RNA". It matches the Rfam family "Bacterial small subunit ribosomal RNA", at positions 338 to 795 of the family's 1533-position model. The record is from RNAcentral.